CAGUAGCCGCGGGAAUACGGAGGGUGCAAGCGUUAAUCGGAAUUACUGGGCGUAAAGCGUGCGUAGGCGGUUUGUUAAGUCUGUUGUGAAAUCCCCGGGCUCAACCUGGGAAUGGCAAUGGAUACUGGCAAGCUAGAGUGUGUCAGAGGAUGGUGGAAUUCCCGGUGUAGCGGUGAAAUGCGUAGAGAUCGGGAGGAACAUCAGUGGCGAAGGCGGCCAUCUGGGACAACACUGACGCUGAGGCACGAAAGCGUGGGGAGCAAACAGGAUUAGAUACCCCGGUAGUCCCUGUCUCUUAUAC
RNAcentral lists this ribosomal RNA (301 nucleotides) under uncultured bacterium. Its description in RNAcentral is "partial 16S ribosomal RNA". It matches the Rfam family "Bacterial small subunit ribosomal RNA", at positions 509 to 807 of the family's 1533-position model. The record is from RNAcentral.